Non-coding RNA from Chrysemys picta bellii (western painted turtle), 582 nucleotides. Lineage: Eukaryota; Metazoa; Chordata; Testudines; Emydidae. The record is from RefSeq and is a predicted model, not a curated record.
AGAAACCUCCAAAAGAUAAAGCAAUUGAAAACAGAAUAAAACAAGAAACAAAAAGAAAACAAGGUUUCCACCUUUGGCUCCCAAACAUAACAAAGCAUCAUGAAAGUAUACCCUCAAAUACCCUCAAAGUACUGUAUUUAAAAUUUAUUUUGGUUUAAUUUUAUAGUUGGUUUAAUUUUUUAUGCUUUUCUUUUGUUAUGUUAUGUUAAUGGGAAGCAGUGGUUGUUAAAGUAGUGCUUCUAAACAGUUAACAAAAGUGAAAUUGGUAUCGCAAGCAAAUUAACUCUAAAAAGCUUGGUAAAAAUUCUGUUAACUCCUUUGCUGAAACAAAUUGUUCAGCAAGGGAAAGCAAUACACAUUCGCAUGGAAGAUUGUGAGCAUUUAUUUUAUCCGUUAAGCAUUACAUUUCGUAUAAAAAUAUUAGUAAUGCACUUCAAAUGAAAAUGAAUGUCUAUACAACAAUUGCAAAAGUAUAGCUUGUGUUAUAAAAGGCUCGGUCCCUAUUACCUUGUUCUUAUUACAUUGUAAACAAACUAAGUUAAACUGUGUAUUAAGUUUGGGUUACAGAAAACAAAAACAAAA